Molecule: ribosomal RNA, 350 nt
Filed under: Bacillus pumilus
Lineage: Bacteria; Bacillati; Bacillota; Bacilli; Caryophanales; Bacillaceae
Description: bacterial SSU rRNA
Rfam family: Bacterial small subunit ribosomal RNA
Source: RNAcentral
ACGGACUCAUGCCCUUAUGACCUGGGCUACACACGUGCUACAAUGGACAGAACAAAGGGCUGCAAGACCGCAAGGUUUAGCCAAUCCCAUAAAUCUGUUCUCAGUUCGGAUCGCAGUCUGCAACUCGACUGCGUGAAGCUGGAAUCGCUAGUAAUCGCGGAUCAGCAUGCCGCGGUGAAUACGUUCCCGGGCCUUGUACACACCGCCCGUCACACCACGAGAGUUUGCAACACCCGAAGUCGGUGAGGUAACCUUUAUGGAGCCAGCCGCCGAAGGUGGGGCAGAUGAUUGGGGUGAAGUCGUAACAAGGUAGCCGUAUCGGAAGGUGCGGUUGGAUCACCUCCACAGUU